RNAcentral lists this ribosomal RNA (386 nucleotides) under uncultured bacterium. RNAcentral describes it as "bacterial SSU rRNA". It matches the Rfam family "Bacterial small subunit ribosomal RNA", at positions 335 to 699 of the family's 1533-position model. The record is from RNAcentral.
ACUCCUACGGGAGGCAGCAGGUGGGAAUAUUGCACGAAAUGGGAAGGCCAUCGAUGCAGCCAUGCCGCGUGUGUGAAGAAGGCCAAUUCGGGCUUGGUUAAAGACACUUUUCAGUAGGGAGGAAGGUAGUGUAGUUAACACCUGCAUUAUUUGACGUUACCUACAGAAGAAGCACCGGCUAACUCCGUGCCAGCAGCCGCGGUAAUACGGAGGGUGCGAGCGUUAAUCGGAAUUACUGGGCGUAAAGCGCAUGCAGGCGGCCUGUUAAGUCAGAUGUGAAAGCCCGGGCUUAAGCCUCGGAAUUGCAUUUGAAACUGGCAGGCUAGAGUCUUGUAGAGGGGGGUGAGAAUUGAUCAGGUGUAGCGGUGAAAGUGCAGUAGAGAUCU